UAUAUAUAUUUUCGUACUUAUAUUAAGUACAUUAAUAUCACAUACUUUAAGACUUAUACUCAAGUUAUAUUCUAAAGGGUGACUUCAGCUAUUACCAAAGUCAUUUUCUGGUAAAACAUCUUUACUUUUACUUGAGUAUGGCUUUCAGGUACUUUAUACACCACUGGUUGCAGGUCCAGGAAACUCAGUUGUGGUGGGCGUUUAAAACAGUGAGUAUCACACCUCAGAUCUGAGUUUGUAUAACAUCACGCUGGUAAAAUAUCUGAAGUGUGAAGCAGACUCCAAUUCACUCCUUUUUCUCCAUAAGCUCAUCAAAGCCUGCAGAUCAAAUUCAGAUCAGAAACCAUGAGAAAGUCUUGUUUUCUGGCGUUCGGACUGGUCCUACUGAUGGCCUGGACUUCUGAGAAUCAAACUCAAGCUUCUCCAGUCUCUGAAAGGGUUUCAACAUCUAUAGGCAAAUUUUGUGUGCAACUAGAUAGUGCUGGGAGAAAUAGAGAAACAGAUAAUGUGAUAGGACCAGCAAACCUUGCAUCAACUAAUCUCCAAAAUAUACCCAAGAAAACAGAUCUUAUCCCAAAGACAACCACUCUACCGAAGAAAACAGAUCCUACACCGAAGAAAACAGAUCCUACACCGAAGAAAACAGAUCUUACCCCAAAGACAACCACUCUACCGAAGAAAACAGAUCCUACACCGAAGAAAACAGAUCUUACCCCAAAGACAACCACUCUACCGAAGAAAACAGAUCCUACACCGAAGAAAACAGAUCCUACACCAAAGAAAACCACCUUACCAAAGAAAACAAAUCCUACGCCAAAGAAAACCACCCUACCGAAGAAAACAAAUCCUACACCGAAGAAAACAGAUCCUACACCGAAGACAACCACCCUACCGAAGAAAACAAAUCCUACGCCAAAGAAAACAAAUCCUACGCCAAAGAAAACAAAUCCUACCCCAAAGAAAACCACCCUACCGAAGAAAACAAAUCCUACCCCAAAGACAACCACCCAAAGAAAACCGAUCCUACCCGUAAGACAACCACCCGAAGAAAACAUCCAACAAUCCUACCCCAAAAACAACAACCGUUAUUGCUAA
Long non-coding RNA from Cyprinus carpio (common carp), 1095 nucleotides. The record is from Ensembl. NCBI's taxonomy places the organism in Eukaryota, Metazoa, Chordata, Actinopteri, Cypriniformes, Cyprinidae.